RNAcentral lists this ribosomal RNA (823 nucleotides) under uncultured bacterium. RNAcentral describes it as "bacterial SSU rRNA". It matches the Rfam family "Bacterial small subunit ribosomal RNA", at positions 70 to 883 of the family's 1533-position model. The record is from RNAcentral.
CACAGCAGAGCUUGCUCUGUGGGUGGCGAGUGGCGGACGGGUGAGGAAUACAUGGGAAUCUGCCCAGUCGUAGGGGAUAACGUAUGGAAACGUACGCUAAUACCGCAUGCGCCCUUCGGGGGAAAGCCGGGGACCUUCGGGCCUGGCGCGAUUGGAUGAGCCCAUGUCGGAUUAGCUAGUUGGCGGGGUAAAGGCCCACCAAGGCGACGAUCCGUAGCUGGUCUGAGAGGAUGAUCAGCCACACUGGAACUGAGACACGGUCCAGACUCCUACGGGAGGCAGCAGUAGGGAAUAUUGGACAAUGGGCGCAAGCCUGAUCCAGCCAUGCCGCGUGUGUGAAGAAGGCCUUCGGGUUGUAAAGCACUUUUGUCCGGAAAGAAAAGCACUGGGUGAAUACCCUGGUGUCCUGACGGUACCGGAAGAAUAAGCACCGGCUAACUUCGUGCCAGCAGCCGCGGUAAUACGAAGGGUGCAAGCGUUACUCGGAAUUACUGGGCGUAAAGCGCGCGUAGGUGGUUUGUUAAGUCUGAUGUGAAAGCCCUGGGCUCAACCUGGGAAUGGCAUUGGAUACUGGCGAGCUAGAGUGCGGUAGAGGGUAGUGGAAUUCCCGGUGUAGCAGUGAAAUGCGUAGAGAUCGGGAGGAACACCAGUGGCGAAGGCGACUACCUGGACCAGCACUGACACUGAGGCACGAAAGCGUGGGGAGCAAACAGGAUUAGAUACCCUGGUAGUCCACGCCCUAAACGAUGCGAACUGGAUGUUGGGCUCAACUUGGAGCUCAGUAUCGAAGCUAACGCGUUAAGUUCGCCGCCUGGGGGAGUAC